UACGAAGGGUGCAAGCGUUACUCGGAAUUACUGGGCGUAAAGCGUGCGUAGGUGGUUUGUUAAGUCUGUUGUGAAAGCCCCGGGCUCAACCUGGGAAUGGCAAUGGAUACUGGCAGGCUAGAAUCUGGCAGAGGGGGUAGAAUUCCACGUGUAGCAGUGAAAUGCGUAGAGAUGUGGAGGAACACCGAUGGCGAAGGCAGCCCCCUGGGUCAAGAUUGACGCUCAUGCACGAAAGCGUGGGGAGCAAACAGG
This 252-nucleotide ribosomal RNA is filed under the name uncultured bacterium. RNAcentral describes it as "partial 16S ribosomal RNA". It matches the Rfam family "Bacterial small subunit ribosomal RNA", at positions 524 to 776 of the family's 1533-position model. The record is from RNAcentral.